This 253-nucleotide ribosomal RNA is filed under the name uncultured bacterium. RNAcentral describes it as "partial 16S ribosomal RNA". It matches the Rfam family "Bacterial small subunit ribosomal RNA", at positions 524 to 776 of the family's 1533-position model. The record is from RNAcentral.
UACGGAGGGUGCAAGCGUUAUCCGGAUUCACUGGGUUUAAAGGGUGCAUAGGCGGAUUGGUAAGUCCGUGGUGAAAUCCCCGAGCUUAACUUGGGAACUGCCGUGGAUACUAUCAGUCUUGAAUAUCGUGGAGGUAAGCGGAAUAUGUCAUGUAGCGGUGAAAUGCUUAGAUAUGACAUAGAACACCAAUUGCGUAGGCAGCUUACUACUCGAUCAUUGACGCUGAGGCACGAAAGCGUGGGGAGCAAACAGG